AGAACGAACGCUGGCGGCAGGCCUAAAACAUGCAAGUCGAGCGCCCAGCAAUGGGAGCGGCGGACGGGUGAGUAACACGUGGGAACGUACCUUUCGGUUCGGAACAACUCAGGGAAACUUGAGCUAAUGCCGAAAUUCGCCCUUCGGGGGAAAGAUUUAUCGCCGAAAGAUCGGCCCGCGUAAGAUUAGCUAGUUGGUGAGGUAACGGCCUACCAAGGCGACGACGGGUAGCCGGCCUGAGAGGGCGACCGGCCACACUGGGACUGAGACACGGCCCAGACUCCUACGGGAGGCAGCAGUGGGGAAUAUUGCGCAAUGGGCGAAAGCCUGACGCAGCGACGCCGCGUGGGGGGAUGAAGGCCUUCGGGUUGUAAACCCCUUUCAGCAGGGACGAAGCGAAAGUGACGGUACCUGCAGAAGAAGCGCCGGCUAACUACGCGCCAGCAGCCGC
RNAcentral lists this ribosomal RNA (451 nucleotides) under uncultured bacterium. RNAcentral's name for it is "SSU rRNA". It matches the Rfam family "Bacterial small subunit ribosomal RNA", at positions 26 to 518 of the family's 1533-position model. The record is from RNAcentral.